CUCAAGUUUUAUCUGUGCUCUGAAACACUCCUGAAACACCCUGCUGUGUCUUGGAUAGCCUAAUGUUAGAUAUCUCAGAUACUGCAGAUACUGGUUUCUUAAGAAGCUGUUAAAACUGCUGGGAUGAUGAAUUAAAAUGUUCUGUAUCUGUUAUAAGGUAACUAGGCAGAACGAGAUUAAAACUUGAAGUGAGACA
Molecule: long non-coding RNA, 196 nt
Organism: Corapipo altera (White-ruffed manakin)
Lineage: Eukaryota; Metazoa; Chordata; Aves; Passeriformes; Pipridae
Exons: 2
Source: RefSeq, a predicted model, not a curated record